UCAAUAAGCGGAGGAAAAGAAACUAACAAGGAUUCCCCUAGUAACGGCGAGUGAAGAGGGAAAAGCUCAAAUUUUGAAUCUGGUGUCUUUGGCGCCCGAGUUGUAAUCUAGAGAAGUGUUUUCCGCGUCGGACCGUGUACAAGUUCCCUGGAACGGGGUGUCAUAGAGGGUGAGAAUCCCGUAUAUGCCACGGACUACCGAUGCUCUGUGAUACACUCUCAACGAGUCGAGUUGUUUGGGAAUGCAGCUCAAAAUGGGUGGUAAAUUCCAUCUAAAGCUAAAUAUUGGCGAGAGACCGAUAGCGAACAAGUACCGUGAGGGAAAGAUGAAAAGCACUUUGGAAAGAGAGUGAAACAGUACGUGAAAUUGUUGAAAGGGAAGCGUUUGAAGUCAGUCAUAUCUGGCGGGAUUCAGCCUGGCUUCUGCCUGGUGUACUUUCCGUCCGAUGGGUCAGCAUCAAUUUUGACCGAGGGAAAAAGACGUUUGGAAUGUGGCUGUCUUCGGGCAGUGUUAUAGCCUCGCGUUGUAUGUCUCGGUUGGGAUUGAGGAAUGCAGCGCGCCUAUUGGCCGGGGGCUAACGCCUCUCGACACGCGCUUAGGAUGCUGGCAUAAUGGCUUUAAGCGACCCGUCUUGAAACACGGACCAAGGAGUCUAACAUGUGCGCAAGUGUUUGGGUGUCAAACCCGAGCGCGAAAUGAAAGUGAAAGGUCGGGAUCCUUCAUUGGUGCACCGACGCCCGGAGCAGACCUUUUGUGACGCAUCCGCGGUAGAGCGUAUAUGUUGGGACCCGAAAGAUGGUGAACUAUGCCUGAAUAGGGUGAAGCCAGAGGAAACUCUGGUGGAGGCUCGUAGCGAUUCUGACGUGCAAAUCGAUCGUCAAAUUUGGGUAUAGGGGCGAAAGAC
RNAcentral lists this ribosomal RNA (904 nucleotides) under uncultured Sebacina. Its description in RNAcentral is "eukaryotic LSU rRNA". It matches the Rfam family "Eukaryotic large subunit ribosomal RNA", at positions 43 to 931 of the family's 3401-position model. Lineage: Eukaryota; Fungi; Basidiomycota; Agaricomycetes; Sebacinales; Sebacinaceae. The record is from RNAcentral.